Molecule: long non-coding RNA, 7511 nt
Filed under: Homo sapiens (human)
Lineage: Eukaryota; Metazoa; Chordata; Mammalia; Primates; Hominidae
Description: HSALNT0281704
Source: RNAcentral
CGGCCAAGUGCCGCGCAGCCGAGGUCGGCCUUGCUGAUCUGUGGUGGCCCAGGGCGACCCGAAGCGCACCGGCUUCAGGGUGCGCCCUGGCCAGGGCGUGGGGUGGAGGGUCACAUAAGCCACCUGGCAUCCGAGGGUGGCCGCCUCGCCCCCUCAACGCCGCUCUCCAGGGAAGGAGGCGGCGGGGUCACCAGGGCGCAGCUGACAGCCCCAGGCCCCGGCCAGGGCGCACCCUAAAGAAGAGGGAGGCUGCUGCCUGAACUGGCCUGGGGGCAGAGGGAAGUGGGCCCCGCGCUGUGGAAGGCCCCAGGCUGGAGCGCCGGGGACAGCUGUCCAAGCGGCGAGGGCUAGGAGUGGCCUCGCCUAGCGCUGAGCCGGCCAGGCCCUGGAGGUGCUCCGCGCCUUCUCGGCCAAAAGCCAGCUCCGCGCCGCUGGCGGAGUGGGAGGGAGGCGGCCAGGCGAGCGCCCCGCCUUCGUCGCCCGCGGUCACAGGGGCAAUUACACUCCUCGCUGCAGACGGUUACCAGCUCGCCCGCGCAUCCCUCUCUCGGCUCCCCUCUCCUCCCCUCUCCUCUCCUCCCCUCCCCUCCUCCGCGGAACUGCUGGCUCCAUAUUAGCGAGGGUGCCCUGGCAGCGCGACCGAGGCCAACUACCCCUGGGGACCCUCCCGAGGCUCCCCGCACCCUGCACACCCUCAAGAUCGCCAAGGCGAGCCCACCGCACCCCACAGCGCGUCCCAAGGGCACCACAGCCGAGGAAGCGACUUUUGCGGUAGCGAAAGGGUGGCAGUACCCAGCUCCACGCGCUGCAAGACUCUAGCAGCCGCGCUUCACCCCAAAACUCUGCCCCUAGCCAGCACAGCUCCCCUAGCGCCCCAAAUCCCAGGUGUGCCUGUUUCCCUGGAGUCCCGCCGGCGUGCUUUGCUAUUCGCAGCUCGACGCCUAGACCUCCUGACUGCAACCUCCGAGGCCUUUGCGCUCCCAGGCGUCCUUUGCUGCAAGCAAACAGGCCCCCAACCGCCCCCUAUGGGGUAAGCCUCGCGGAGUCCUAGGACACAUCCCACAAACCGAGGUGAACCUAAGCCACCGGCUACGUCUGAAGGGAGGACAGACGAGACGAGGGGCAGCCAACUGAGCGAAUCACUCUGCCUUCCGCCUUUGCAAAUGAAUAGGGCUCUGUCUACAGCUUCCGCCAUUCCUACGCCAGAUCUGCAACGCCUAAGGCUUAAACUUGGCGCGGCGGUAAAUUUAGCCCGAAGGCAGCGGCUCCUAAGGGGCGGGGAUGUCUCCUUGGAAGAAGGAAAGGGAACAGGGUAAGAAAAUGGAGUUGCCUCUAGGAAGAAGAAUCAGGCAGAGGAAACAUUCAGGGCCGCUGGCGGACCACUGACAAAAAGAAAUCGGACGCAAAAGAAACCUCCCCAGAAGAAACUGGGCCACCGUGGGAGCCGUGCGAGACAGACUUCCCAUCUGGGAAGGGCUGCCUACGGGUAAUUGGGUUUGCUCGAGUUGCCUCUAUAAUUAAUAAGUGAUUUGACUUGGAGAUUGGAAAUAGUCAUGAAAGGAAGCCGCGGGCGUAGGGGUGUGAGGCCCAGGAGCCUCCAUCCGAAAUCCAAAGACCGCGGAGGAGGACGGUUUAAGGAACAGGACGAAUGUGAUAAUAUUGGCAUCUAACCUUCUAGUGUUUGAGUAAUUCGUUGCUUAGCUACUUUGGAUAGGCCAUUAUUUUGCAAACUGGAAACAUUUGCAAGUGGUGAUAUUUUGCUCUUGCCUGACGCAGGGGCUGCAAACCUACGCCGGCUCUGCUGAACUCUUCGAAAUAUAUAUGCAUAAAUUGUUCCUAAUGAGACCAUCUGUUUUUUAUGGCCCCUCUGGAAGCAGGAGGAACCCGAAGCCUGCUCCGUCUUGCAGAAAUCUGUGGCCAGGCAGGCCUGGGAAAUAAAUAGGGGAGAUUAGAACGGUGUGCGUGAUUUAACAAUACGCAGAACGGCAAGUUCGGUGGUCGAGAUGUGUGCCUCGAUUCCCAGGGGUGCGGGUCAUUUAGGGUGACUCCAGACAUGGGGGUUCCUCCUAGGAGGCCCAGGGACUUUGCGGAGUUCCACGGCACACACGAACCUCGUUUUUCCAUAUCUGGAACAUCGCCAGAGCCACAACGCGAAACCACGAGCCUGUAGCUGCUCUGGGGACCCAAAACAAGCACCCAGGUUGUAGGUGGUCCCCGACGUCGCCCACUAUCUAGGGCCUCCUUCUACGGUGGUGAAGGGAGCUGAACCUGGGCCACAGAGGCAGAGAACGAGCAUCACUCCACCCCAUACCCGGGUCAGAGCACAGAGCUCAUUCCGGGCCUAUCCCAAAGACUGAGCUGCUCCGCGAGCGUCUGGCAGGCCCAGCGCCCCGGCCUGAGACCGCACUGAGGGUGGCAGGGCAAACACUUUUCACAUUACCGCGUGGCUGUUAAUUGGGGCAGUGCAAAAGACGCCGCGACUACCCCUUUGCGGCGGCGGGGGAGGGGGGAGCGGGUCAGGAGUGGGCAGUGGGGGCUGCUUAUAAUAGAAGGACUGCCCUGGGGAGCCUCAGAUAUCGGUAACCCCCAUGAUUAAUUCAUAACUCUCCACUGCGCCUGGCACCGUCUCGGGUCUUUAAUCGGUUCUGAAUGUCAGCGAGGCUUCCCCGACAGCCUGAGCACUGCUUUUUCAAUGUGUUGAAAGUCGCUGCGCGCACACCAGGAGACAAAGUUGCCAUCUGCUCCGGGGACCAAGGCAACUGGGCGCUGGGAGGGGCCUUCCUCCCGCGGCUCCCGCUGCCCCGGGCGGCCUCCUCUUCCCGGCCUGCCCCAAAGCCAACACUGUCACCCGGAACGUCCCCGCCCCCCGCCCCGGGUGCAUGCAUGGUGGAAACUCCGGCUUGCAGCGAAACAGAGCGCUGCGCGCGGGCGCGCAGGGAGCCUCGCGGUCACCCAGACCGAGACCUAUGCUAAUGAGAUUAUAGGCCCGGGUUGUUUGUGUGCGCGGACGUCAAAGGGGGGGCGCAGAUAAAGUGUGGAAACCGGGAUGACUUGGAGGGGGGAGGGGCAGGAAGCCCCAGGAGAACAAAGCUCCUGGCCGUCGGCCUCCAAAGAGUCGCAGAAGUGACCGCCACUGGCUCGUGCACAGGCGGAAGCGGGGGAGGGCGGGGGACGCCAGGCCUAAAGCGCCUCGUGGGUUUAGAGAACUCAGAGAGGGCACCGGGUGGGGGUGGGAAGAAGACUCAACCCGUAGCUAAAUGUUUGGCCUUUGGCUAUUUUUUAAGGAAACGAAUCUCAGGGAGGUCGGGGCGCGGGGGAUGGGGGCAUCAUCGCGCCUCGGAGAUGGGAAGCGAGUUCCCCUCCGCUUUCUGGGAAAAGCCUUGUCUCCCUUCUUUCCCCUCCCCCCAUCCUGCUGAGGGUUUGCGUUGACCCAUCUCUCCGCUCGGGACCGGCAGGAGGACGGAGCCGCAGGGGCUGACCGCGGCCCAGAGGCUGCCCAGGGGUCGCGCUGCUGCCGGCCUGCGCUUCCGCACUCCCGGGUUCGGUGCGUCGCCUCUCGCGGCAGCGCCUCGCUUCUUCCAGACUGUAAUUCCACACUCCCGCAAGCGCUGGGGCUGCGGAAUCGUUUGAGGGAGUUGGAACUGCAUCAGAUGAGCACGCCGGGAGGUGAGAUCGGACACGAAAAUUGGACACGUGGAGAAUUAGCCCUGCUGGAGAAGCGCUGGGUGCAGACUCAAACAAUGGUUUCCAGCGCCGAAGCUGAGGCAUCACCUUCCCCACCUCCACCCUCAAAUGGCAGCUGCCUCUAUAUACAGCGGGCACACCCCUUCACUACCCACCCCCUCCCCCAAAGCCUGGUUAGGGACCUAUGUGGGCUGCACGCUCUGGAGCCCCUUGCCCGGACACAAACCCUAGGUGGGCCUGGGCUGCCCGCUGAGUAGCUCAUUGCGCCUGGGAUCCCCUGGGAUUUAGAAGUAUAGGGCUCUCUAUUUUUCCCUAGGAAGGUCCUGUCUCAAAGAUGCCACCCCCAAAAAUUAAUGUGUAAAAACCCAACCAAGCUCCAGUCUCUGUGUCCUUUGGCAAAUCUAUCUUUCCUAGGGCAUACUUUCCUAAGCUGCUGGGACCUUGCCCCCCAUCUGAUGAGCCAUACGCAGGUGGUCUGGCCUCUUCAGAGCAGCUUCCUUUAGUUAUUGUCUUCUCCAGAGGCCCCAUCCUCCACGGCAGCCCUAAUCUUAGCCCCCCAGCCUCUCUGAGCCCCCAUCCCACCCCCACACUGCGCUGAGCUGGCAGCAGCCACAGCUCCCCCAGGCAGUUCCUCUCUCACUGCGCGGCCUGUGCAUCUCGCUGGGGCACACACUCCGCACAGAAGCUCCCUCGCCUCCUGGAGCUGGUUUCCUCUUACAGGCUCCCCUUAGAGCUGCUGGUGCUGUGACAACGCCUGCAUCUCUGUGUCUCCCUGCAGCGCUGCGAGCUGUGAAUCUGCCUUCUCUUCCCUUCCUGCAAAGGUCAAGCUGCCUCCUUCUCUCGCAGGGCCGCAGUUCAGUUCUGGCCUGCAGAGCUUCUACACUGCAACUUGAAUAUGGGAAUGGGGUGGGCAUCGUGCAAGGGAGCAGUCACACUCAAGCCAGGAGGCAGGGACAAAAGGGUGUGCGAUUCAGGGAGGGAAACACUGAGGACAACCCUCAGAAAGCAGUGCAGGAUUUGCAGCUAAAGACUCAAAAGAGGGAGAGAAAACGAGGAAAAGGCUGUUACUAGGUCGUGAGUCCUGAAGUGUAGGCCUUUCUCCUCCCACCCCGUGGGUUGCCCUAGGGGAAGGCCAGAAGAGGCCUCAGGUGUCUGCACUGUGUCCUGUGCAGUUCCUAGGGCCAUGCACUUCCGGUGAGGCUGCACUUUACUCCAAGCAGGAGUCAGAAGCAUGGAAUUCAGUGGCCGCAGGAGCUCAAGUCGGCUGCAGCCCUUUCAAAGAGGGACCCCGAAGAGGCCUUUCUGCCACCCCAGCCCCAGAGAGGCUAUGAGGCUCUACAAGCAGCAGAGAGAAUGAUACGGAGAAAAAUGAGAGGAAACGCUAUUAAACUUGCUUCCUCUAAAGAGCGCUACCCACCGUUUUCUCUGAACUGUACCUAAAAAGUCAGGAGAGAACUCGUUAACUUUUGUUUGGUUUAACAUUGCCAGCUUCAAGUCAACCGUAGGCCCCCCGAAGGUUUUGUAAAAUAUUUAAUCUAGCUCAGACAAUUUCCUGCAGUCCCUAACCAGACCACCCCACUUACUGAGCCGCUGCCAAAAAGGAUGCUUGACUGCAGACUGGCAACCAGAGGCCUUCCAGUCGCCUGGCUGGCCUUGACCUCCACUCGAGGCGCCAGGAAAGACCCUUCCCGGAAUCCCGAGAGACCAAGACCUGGGUAAUCCUGGAGGUCUAAACCCGUGAGGAAGCCCAAGAAAUGGAGUUAAAGACCCUUUUCGCACAACCGAUUGUUGUCUGUGUGACCUUCUGCGGCCCUUGCCCUCUCUGAACCCUCUAAAAUGGGCAUGAGGAUGUCUCACCUUCCUCUGGGUGUUAUGCAUUUUGAAGCGUGGGCACUAUGGGAGAGGCUGACGCUCUGUGUUCCCCAGCGCCCUCCACUCCCACCCCUUCACUGUUUUCUUCGACAUUAUCUCCCUAGAGAACACAGCAAGCAGGAGCGGGAUCCUUCGACUCGGCUGACUCUCAACUCCUUCCAAACGUGAGGCUGACGGGGAGAACUCCUGCUCUGCCCAGUUUCCAUUCCCGCCUCCAGAAUAACGAGCCGAAAACAUGUGUACUGUAAAUAAAGCCUGUCUAAAUAAAGCACUCGGGUAAAGGCUACCGAGAAAACACUCCGCAUCGCUCUGUGCUCAGAGCGUGAGUCAGCUUCCCAGCCCCGGGGGAACAAUGGGGACCUUGCCAAGGGUCCCCUUCUGUCGACCCCUGACGGCCCCCAGGCCCGUUUGGGUGGCGGGAGUGCCGGCACCCUGGGACCUUCGGGCCCGAGGUUCGGGAGGGCUAAGGGCGCUCCAGGCGACCAGGGUUGGGGUCCAGCCCCAGGAUUAGCGCGGCCAGGAAUCCCUCUGCCCGCAGCUGCCGCGGAGGGGUUGAGGGUUAAACAGACACCGGGCAGAGGAGCGAGCCUGCCGGCUGCGGCCGGCGCGGCGCGGCGCGGGGAGAGGACGGGAGGGAAGAGGGCGCACGCUACCUAGCCUCCCGACGAGAAGACGUCUCCUCCCCACGUCAGGCCGGGCUCUCGCCCACUCGGCUGGCCGCCUCUGCUCCCUGGCCUCUCAAGUCUCAGCGGAAAGAAACGUAGCGGCUGCCAAAAGCACCCCACUCCUUUUAUUGUCCCCAUAAGCCUAUACACGUACACUAGCCACCCCCCCAACACACACACACAACACGCACACGUGUGCGGGAGACUCGAGGAUGCCCUGCCUCCAUCGCUCACAGACUGCAAUCUCCAGAGGAUAUCGGCAAAACGCUGAUCCACGUGAGGACUCGCAGUUUUCGACCUACUGGGAGCCAGCACCUGAAGCAAAGGAUUCGAGUCCUGAUGUCCGGAGACUCAUUAAAAUAUUUUCCUAAGCGCGCACACACUCGCAGGUCCUCCUCCUUGGUCGUCGGUAACCCACCACCCAACCGAAUUAAAAUUCGCAAAUUGAUUCCCACGCGUUGGUAUUAAUGGGUUGUUCCUCUUAAAUUGUUGCCAACUUUGCUAAUGGAUUAUUAUUUAAAUGAUUUCUUUUUCAUAAAGUACGUGUUGUUUUAUAGAUGCGUAUUUACUUAAAGAAAUCAACUGCAUGUAUUAACAUAUUAAAGAGAGAAUAAAGCAUCGGGGCCGGUGUAAUGUACUGUUCAGCCUUACUUUGGGUGCUCUCGAAGAUAGGAAAAUCUUAUUUGUUUAAUAAUAAGUCACUCAUGAAUAUGCAAAUGGCAUCGGUGCAGUACCUCACUUCUGUCACUAUUAAUGAGUUGCAAAUUAAUGUGACAACAAAAGGAAAAUCUAUUUAGUGGAGGAACUCAGGUUCCUACCUGGGGAGAUCACAAGCAAGCCUGGAACUUGAGUCUCCAGGCAGGAGAGGACUGGGGAUGGACACGUACCUCCUCACGUAGUGUUUUCCUGGAGCCUCCACUAUUGUUUGGUUUCAGGGACCUGCUUUGUCAGGAACCCCUUAAAAUUCCUGCUCCAGACCAGAGGAAGAAAGGCUGCUCCAGGGUAAUUAGGGCCAAGUGUGAUUAAUGGAAAUCAACCCACAGUUUGAAGUAAAGCAGUUGGCCAAGCAGAUUUUGGGGGGUCUCCUCCCCCGAGCUUAAAGAUUCCCCAAAGCCUUUUUGACCUCUGUUGCUUUGGACAGGGUUGAGGACGUAAAUAGCGAAUUAGCCCUCACAGGCCUGAUCACAGGUAUUAAGACAGCACCCUAUGCACUUGAAUUUUACGAGGUGACUUUGCUGAUGGGAGAUUUAAGAGCAGAUCAGCUCAUUUUCCUGCCGACCUACUUCCCAG